AGCAACUCCACAUGCCAGAGUAAAGGGGCCAAUGCAUCUCUGCAGGGCUCGCAAGGGAGAUAAUGUACAAACCCAUUUUGUAACCUGAGCACAUCCCCCACCUCAAGGGUGACAUUGAAGUUGGAGGAGAGGGAGACAGACAGAAACAGAGAAAGAGGAUUUCUUUUUUUUUUUUGUUUUUUUUUUUUUGGAGAAAAGUUGCAGGACUGCUGUGGAGGGGAAGAGAAGUCUGCCCCUCAAACCAAGUGAUUAGGGCAUUUAGAGACCACUUGGAGCAUGUGAUAGACAUAAUAGCCUGGUGCCGGACCCAUGUGGAUAAAGGUACUACAGGCAAGAGGCUGGCUGGCGAGUGGCUUGGCAUAGCGAGCAGAGAGAAUCUGUGCGGGCAGUGGCUACACUCUCAUGAUGGUACAGCCAAAAUGCUGAGCCUGGAAUAGGGACGUCUGGCCAUGCAGACUGCUUGGAGGAAACGUGGGACCCCAGCAGGACUCUGUGUGUGUGGACCAAAGGAUACCCUGGAGCUGAGGGAGGGUGGUCAGCAGGCAGUCUGUAUCAAGGCAACUGCCCUCAGCGUUCGACAGAGGCAUCGCCAAGGAACGCAUGUGAGAUCCAGGAAAAGGAAGUCAGUGGGAAACACCCACCAGAAAACACCAGCACUAUGCCACGCGGCUCCAGUCGGAACGGAGCAUCGGGUCACUGAAGGUCAGGGUGUUGGUGGGUAAGUAUGUCAGAGGAAGACAAGGACAUGCGUGAGACGCAAGCACCCUGAGGGCCAGAGAAUCCACCCCUGCUGGGAGUGAAGUGAAGACACGAGUGGGAUGAGAGACACCAGAUUUCAGGGCCAGUGCAACAAAGAGCCUGGCAGCCUUGGUAUCCUGUAGUAGCCUCCCAACUCCUUCAGGUGAGGCCCAGGGAAUAAGGCAGACAGCCAAGGGCCUCCGGGCCCCUCCAGCUGUGGUGGCAAAGACCUGAGACCCAGAGGAUGCCAGGGAACCCCAGCCAGAGACCUGCCCUCAGAGCAAAAUGGGCUCAAGACAGUAAAACCAGAAGUUGAAUUCUCUUGACUAUGUAAACCGAAGUACAAAUGAUGGGGAGCUUCCUGAGCAAGGGGUGUCCUGCUAACCUGUGUGUGAGGCUG
Long non-coding RNA from Manis javanica (Malayan pangolin), 1138 nucleotides. RefSeq lists it as uncharacterized. Lineage: Eukaryota; Metazoa; Chordata; Mammalia; Pholidota; Manidae. The record is from RefSeq and is a predicted model, not a curated record.